This 253-nucleotide ribosomal RNA is filed under the name uncultured bacterium. RNAcentral describes it as "partial 16S ribosomal RNA". It matches the Rfam family "Bacterial small subunit ribosomal RNA", at positions 524 to 776 of the family's 1533-position model. The record is from RNAcentral.
UACGGGGGGUGCAAACGUUGCUCGGAAUUAUUGGGCGUAAAGCGCACGUAGGCGGUCUCGUAAGUCGGGUGUGAAAGCCCCAGGCUUAACCUGGGAAGUGCACUCGAAACUGCGAGGCUUGAGUACGGAAGAGGGUCUCGGAAUUCCCGGUGUAGAGGUGAAAUUCGUAGAUAUCGGGAGGAACACCAGUGGCGAAGGCGGAGACCUGGGCCGAUACUGACGCUGAGGUGCGAAAGCGUGGGGAGCAAACAGG